UGGCUUACCGUGGCAGUGACGGUUAACGGGGGAUUAGGGUUCGAUUCCGGAGAGGGAGCCUGAGAAACGGCUACCACAUCUAAGGAAGGCAGCAGGCGCGCAAAUUACCCAAUUCUAACAGCAUAAGAGAGGUAGUGACAAGAAAUAACAAUACAAGGUAAUUAAAUUGCUUUGUAAUUGGAAUGAUAGAAAUUUAAACACUUUUUAAAGUAUCAAUUGGAGGGCAAGUCUGGUGCCAGCAGCCGCGGUAAUUCCAGCUCCAAUAGCGUAUAUUAAAAUUGUUGCAGUUAAAAAGCUCGUAGUUGAAUUUCUGUUAAAAAUAACCGGUCUGCUUUUAUUAAAAGUGGUAUCUUGGUGUGUUUUUAGCAAUAAUGUCCUUUGAAAUGUUUUUUACUUUAUUGUAAUAAGUCAUUAUUUUGAGGAUUUUUACUUUGAGAAAAUUAGAGUGUUUCUAGCAGGCUUACGCUUUUGAAUACUGCAGCAUGGAAUAAUAAGAUAGGAUUUUAGUUCUACAUUAUUGGUUUUAAGAACUAAAUUAAUGAUUGAUAGGGAUAGUUGGGGGCA
RNAcentral lists this ribosomal RNA (564 nucleotides) under Hepatozoon sp. KCMS-2016a. Its description in RNAcentral is "bacterial SSU rRNA". It matches the Rfam family "Eukaryotic small subunit ribosomal RNA", at positions 337 to 890 of the family's 1831-position model. Lineage: Eukaryota; Apicomplexa; Hepatozoidae. The record is from RNAcentral.